UGGGGAAUAUUGCACAAUGGGGGAAACCCUGAUGCAGCGACGCCGCGUGAGCGAUGAAGGCUUUCGAGUCGUAAAGCUCUGUCCUAUGGGAAGAUAAUGACGGUACCAUAGAAGAAAGCCCCGGCUAACUACGUGCCAGCAGCCGCGGUAAUACGUAGGGGGCUAGCGUUAUCCGGAUUUACUGGGCGUAAAGGGUGCGUAGGUGGUCUUUCAAGUCGGUGGUUAAAGGCUACGGCUAAACCGUAGUUAGCCUCCGAAACUGGAAGACUUGAGUGCAGGAGAGGAAAGUGGAAUUCCCAGUGUAGCGGUGAAAUGCGUAGAUAUUGGGAGGAACACCAGUAGCGAAGGCGGCUUUCUGGACUGCAACUGACACUGAGGCACGAAAGCGUGGGUAGCAAACAGG
This 403-nucleotide ribosomal RNA is filed under the name Verrucomicrobiota bacterium. RNAcentral's name for it is "Verrucomicrobia bacterium partial 16S ribosomal RNA". It matches the Rfam family "Bacterial small subunit ribosomal RNA", at positions 355 to 776 of the family's 1533-position model. The record is from RNAcentral. Lineage: Bacteria; Pseudomonadati; Verrucomicrobiota.